RNAcentral lists this ribosomal RNA (485 nucleotides) under uncultured bacterium. RNAcentral's name for it is "bacterial SSU rRNA". It matches the Rfam family "Bacterial small subunit ribosomal RNA", at positions 30 to 507 of the family's 1533-position model. The record is from RNAcentral.
AUUGAACGCUGGCGGCAGGCCUAACACAUGCAAGUCGAGCGGUAGAGAGGUGCUUGCAUCUCUUGAGAGCGGCGGACGGGUGAGUAAUGCCUAGGAAUCUGCCUAGGUGGUGGGGGAUAACGCUCGGAAACGGACGCUAAUACCGCAUACGAUCUACGGAUGAAAGCGGGGGAUCGCAAGACCUCGCGCGAUUGGAGCGGCCGAUAUCAGAUUAGGUAGUUGGUGAGGUAAAGGCUCACCAAGCCGACGAUCUGUAGCUGGUCUGAGAGGACGACCAGCCACACUGGGACUGAGACACGGCCCAGACUCCUACGGGAGGCAGCAGUGGGGAAUUUUGGACAAUGGGCGCAAGCCUGAUCCAGCAAUGCCGCGUGCAGGAUGAAGGCCUUCGGGUUGUAAACUGCUUUUGUACGGAACGAAACGGUGAGCUCUAAUACAGUUUGCUAAUGACGGUACCGUAAGAAUAAGCACCGGCUAACUACGUG